RNAcentral lists this microRNA precursor (124 nucleotides) under Danio rerio (zebrafish). Its description in RNAcentral is "microRNA dre-mir-204 precursor (dre-mir-204-2)". Its record names the gene dre-mir-204-2. The stretch from base 21 to 109 matches the Rfam family "mir-204 microRNA precursor family". The record is from miRBase by way of RNAcentral. Lineage: Eukaryota; Metazoa; Chordata; Actinopteri; Cypriniformes; Danionidae.
GUGUUGCUCUAGUGACCAGUUUGUGACCUCCUGGGUUUCCCUUUGUCAUCCUAUGCCUGCAGUUCCUGAUGAGGCUGGGACAGCAAAGGGAGGUUCAGAUGUCGACCUGUACUACAGUCAAUAC